RNAcentral lists this non-coding RNA (120 nucleotides) under Bacillus gobiensis. RNAcentral's name for it is "SAM-I sequence". It matches the Rfam family "SAM riboswitch aptamer (S box leader)". Rfam says of the family: The SAM riboswitch is found upstream of a number of genes which code for proteins involved in methionine or cysteine biosynthesis in Gram-positive bacteria. Lineage: Bacteria; Bacillati; Bacillota; Bacilli; Caryophanales; Bacillaceae. The record is from Rfam by way of RNAcentral.
AACUUAUCAUGAGAAGCGGAGGGACUGGCCCUGUGAAGCUUCAGCAACCGGUGCAAUGAUUCAAUUCAUUCAUGACCAAGGUGCUAAAUCCAGCAAGCGUACUUGCUUGAAAGAUAAGGA